AAAAAGAUAAGCUAAUUAAGCUUAUGGAUUCAUAUUCCAUUUAUAGAAGUAAAAUCCUCUUCUUUUUA
This 68-nucleotide transfer RNA is filed under the name Anabropsis carnarius. RNAcentral's name for it is "Pteranabropsis carnarius tRNA-Met". It matches the Rfam family "tRNA". From Rfam's summary of the family: Transfer RNA (tRNA) molecules are approximately 80 nucleotides in length. Their secondary structure includes four short double-helical elements and three loops (D, anti-codon, and T loops). The record is from RNAcentral. Lineage: Eukaryota; Metazoa; Arthropoda; Insecta; Orthoptera; Anostostomatidae.